This 988-nucleotide ribosomal RNA is filed under the name Staphylococcus aureus. RNAcentral describes it as "partial 23S ribosomal RNA". It matches the Rfam family "Bacterial large subunit ribosomal RNA", at positions 328 to 1324 of the family's 2925-position model. The record is from RNAcentral. Lineage: Bacteria; Bacillati; Bacillota; Bacilli; Caryophanales; Staphylococcaceae.
AUUAGACGAAUCAUCUGGAAAGAUGAAUCAAAGAAGGUAAUAAUCCUGUAGUCGAAAAUGUUGUCUCUCUUGAGUGGAUCCUGAGUACGACGGAGCACGUGAAAUUCCGUCGGAAUCUGGGAGGACCAUCUCCUAAGGCUAAAUACUCUCUAGUGACCGAUAGUGAACCAGUACCGUGAGGGAAAGGUGAAAAGCACCCCGGAAGGGGAGUGAAAUAGAACCUGAAACCGUGUGCUUACAAGUAGUCAGAGCCCGUUAAUGGGUGAUGGCGUGCCUUUUGUAGAAUGAACCGGCGAGUUACGAUUUGAUGCAAGGUUAAGCAGUAAAUGUGGAGCCGUAGCGAAAGCGAGUCUGAAUAGGGCGUUUAGUAUUUGGUCGUAGACCCGAAACCAGGUGAUCUACCCUUGGUCAGGUUGAAGUUCAGGUAACACUGAAUGGAGGACCGAACCGACUUACGUUGAAAAGUGAGCGGAUGAACUGAGGGUAGCGGAGAAAUUCCAAUCGAACCUGGAGAUAGCUGGUUCUCUCCGAAAUAGCUUUAGGGCUAGCCUCAAGUGAUGAUUAUUGGAGGUAGAGCACUGUUUGGACGAGGGGCCCCUCUCGGGUUACCGAAUUCAGACAAACUCCGAAUGCCAAUUAAUUUAACUUGGGAGUCAGAACAUGGGUGAUAAGGUCCGUGUUCGAAAGGGAAACAGCCCAGACCACCAGCUAAGGUCCCAAAAUAUAUGUUAAGUGGAAAAGGAUGUGGCGUUGCCCAGACAACUAGGAUGUUGGCUUAGAAGCAGCCAUCAUUUAAAGAGUGCGUAAUAGCUCACUAGUCGAGUGACACUGCGCCGAAAAUGUACCGGGGCUAAACAUAUUACCGAAGCUGUGGAUUGUCCUUUGGACAAUGGUAGGAGAGCGUUCUAAGGGCGUUGAAGCAUGAUCGUAAGGACAUGUGGAGCGCUUAGAAGUGAGAAUGCCGGUGUGAGUAGCGAAAGACGGGUGA